ACUAUUUUGGCAGAAAUUUUUAUAGUGCAAUAAGGUUAGAAUUUAUUUAUGUAAUAAAAUUACAGAUAGUA
This 71-nucleotide transfer RNA is filed under the name Kokeshia sp. NKU02. RNAcentral describes it as "tRNA-Leu". The record is from RNAcentral. Lineage: Eukaryota; Metazoa; Arthropoda; Insecta; Hemiptera; Schizopteridae.